This 894-nucleotide small RNA is filed under the name Cryptococcus neoformans H99. Its description in RNAcentral is "Cryptococcus neoformans var. grubii H99 hypothetical RNA". The record is from RNAcentral. Lineage: Eukaryota; Fungi; Basidiomycota; Tremellomycetes; Tremellales; Cryptococcaceae.
CACAAUUCGAGACAUCCACUAGGAGGAAGAUCACGAGCUUCUCUUCUUCCUAGCGGUUUGGGCCUUAUUUUUAAGGCACUGCAUGCCCAGUGACCGUAUAGGCCACUUGCUGUUUCAGCGGGCAGCACCAAAGACGUCGACGUCUUGUCGGCGACCUUCAUCAAGGUUAGCUGGCCAUCCAAAACAUAUAAAAGAAUGUCACCCACAAGACCCAUGAAGGGCACACACUCCUCAUAAUCCGUCCCCUUCCACGCGGACCCACUUUAUCACCGAACGCUCGGACAGCGCUUCGGCGGACAUCCUUCUAAGGAAAGCGUUGGGAGCUUAUCGGCGACAAGGGAGAAGUCCGAGAGGGAGAGAAAGAGGCGUCGUUGAGGAAGGAGGCAGAGCGGGGACGCCGUUGACAUCAGCUGCAAGAGACAGGAGUCAAUACAUGGGCAACCUAGUCAACAGCAAGGGGAAUAGGAAGGAAUAGAGGAAAUAUCGUACCUGUUCUCUGGGAUUGCUGAUGUUCCUGGGCUUCAGCCAAGAACCCGUCUAUCAGCUCUUGGUCACUCCGAGUCCUCCUAGGACGAGGAUGGGAGGGGACAUCAAGAUGGGUUUGAGAGUGUGAGACUCCCCCACAGAAUAAGGUACAAAGCCGUUUACACCUCUUUAACCACCACUUCUCUGCCCACCGCUUGAUGAAGACGCAAGACGAGGGCUGGAUGAUGUUGGUAAGGCAGGGCGAAUGCUGGAUCUGGUUGGGCGGGACAUUGUAGAUAGAAUGACUAGAAAUAGAAAGUAAGGUUGUGAAAGACGUAGCGAGAUUUUGUGUUGAACUUUCUGGAAUCACACUAUGAAGCCAGGACUAUGGACUUAUAUAAGAACUGCAUGCACUCACCGAAUUUUUUA